CAGAGCUUGCAGUGAGCCAAGAUCGCACCACUGCACUCCAGCCUGGACAACAGAGCGAGACUCCAUCUAAAAAAAAAAAAAAAAAAAAACUACAUGAAAACCCAAGGAAAACUCUUACUGACAUUGGUCUAGGCAAAGAAUUCAUGACUAAGAACUCGAAAGCACAAGCAACAACAACAAAAAAAGACAAAUGAGACAACUAAACUAAAAAGCUUCUGCACAGCAAAAGAAAUAAUCAACAGAAUGAACAGACAACUUGAAGAAUAGGAGAAAAUAUUUGCAAACUAUGCAUCCAACAAGGACUGAUAUCCAGAAUGUACCAAGAACUCAAACAGAUCAAAGACAACAAAAGCAACAAAUAAUCCUGUUAAAAAGUGGGCAAAUGACAUGAAUAGACAUUUUUCAAAAGAAGAUAUAUAAAUGGCCAAACGAGCAUUAUGAAAAAAUGGAAAGCAGUGUGGAGAUUUCUCAAAGAACUAAAAAUAGAACUACUGUAUGAUCCAACAAUUCCACUACUAGGUAUAUAUGCCCAAAGGAAAAGAAACCAUUAUCUCAAAAAGAUACCUACACUCAUAUGUUUAUCACAGCACAAUCCACAAUAGCAAAGACAUAAAAUCAACCUAAGUGUCCAUCAAUGGAUGACUGGAUAAAGAAAACGUGGCGCGCGCGCGCGCGCGCGCGCGCACACACACACACACACACACACACAGUGGAAUACUAGUCAGCCACAGAAAAGAAUGAAAUAACAUAUUUUACAGCAACAUGGAUGAAACUAUUAACUAUCUGACUUUCUGUUUCUGACUUGUUUCACUUAAGAUAAUGAAAGCCAUUUAUAGGUAGGAGCCAAAUUUAUAGGUGGGAGCCAAAUGUGUACACAUGGACAUAGAGCAUGAAAUAAUAGUUACUGGAGACUUGGAAGUGUGGGAAGGGGGUGAAGGAUGAAAAAUUACUUAAUAAGUAAAAUAUAUAACUAUUCGAAUAAUGGUUACACUAAAAGCCAGACUUUACCAGGAUGCAAUAUAUCUUGUAACAAAACUGCAUUUGCACCCCUUAAAUUUAUACAAAUAAAAAAUAAAAUUAUAUAAUUCCAAGGACCGAGCAUAAGAACUUGAUAUCGCCUAAUGGAGGAAGAGAAGAAUUGCUAACAUCAGGUCAUGAACACCACAGAUUUCAUGUUUUUGGAGGUACUGUUUCUACCAUUAAUACGAAUACCCUUUCCAACCACUUUAUUUAUAAUGUAUAGGUAAUGUAAACUAAAGGUUACUAGGAGACCCAUAAGUAUCUGAAAUUUUUAGGAAGAGAUACAAACAAGACUCCUGGCAAAAGGAAGAAAGUACUGUUAAGGAUGAAGAAGAAAACAGAUGAGAGAUUUCAACAGAAAAAAAAACACACACACACACACAAACAAAGGCGUGGGAGUAAUAAUUAUAUUGGCAUGUAUGGAGAUUUAUGACUAACGAGUAUGUGGUUCUUGCCUGGGAAAGGUUCUGUGAUAAAGGUAAGAGUGGUGAACAAAAUUAUGAAGGGGUGAGGAGGCUAAGCAUGAGAGUUUGGCCUCUAUAGAUUCAUUUGAUAAUAGGAAGAGCAUCUAAAUUCUUGAGCAGGAAAAUGACAUGGUGAAAAUAGUAUUUUAAGAGAAUUAGUCUAGCAGUUAAUGUGCAGGAAAACUAGAGAUCAGAGAUAGAAUGUUUGAAUAUUGGGGCAGUAUAAUCCAGGUUUUGUAAUGCCUUUUAUGACAAAAUUCACUCCUCAUUUUUCUCAGCCCACACUAGUGGGAGAUUUGUAAAAUAUAAAUUAAUUCAUAUAUAAAAUACCACCCCUCCCAACCCCAAAAUCAGUUACAAAAGUAUUAUCUUCUAUACUUUUGAAGAAGUCUUUUUUACCUGGAUUCUGAGAGACCAAAUAAGAAACAUCAGGCCGGGCACGGUGGCUCACACCUGUAAUCCCAG
RNAcentral lists this long non-coding RNA (1949 nucleotides) under Homo sapiens (human). RNAcentral describes it as "HSALNT0241695". The record is from RNAcentral. Lineage: Eukaryota; Metazoa; Chordata; Mammalia; Primates; Hominidae.